GUCCUACGGGAGGCAGCAGUAGGGAAUCUUCCACAAUGGACGAAAGUCUGAUGGAGCAACGCCGCGUGAGUGAAGAAGGGUUUCGGCUCGUAAAGCUCUGUUGGUAGUGAAGAAAGAUAGAGGUAGUAACUGGCCUUUAUUUGACGGUAAUUAAUUAGAAAGUCACGGCUAACUACAUGACAGCAGCCGCGGUAAUACGUAGGUGGCAAGCGUUGUCCGGGUUUAUUGGGCGUAAAACGAGUGCAGG
This 247-nucleotide ribosomal RNA is filed under the name uncultured bacterium. RNAcentral's name for it is "partial 16S ribosomal RNA". It matches the Rfam family "Bacterial small subunit ribosomal RNA", at positions 335 to 575 of the family's 1533-position model. The record is from RNAcentral.